This 66-nucleotide transfer RNA is filed under the name Perkinsus marinus. Lineage: Eukaryota; Perkinsozoa; Perkinsida; Perkinsidae. The record is from RNAcentral.
AAUGGUCGAGUGGCAGAGCGGCGGGCUGUUGAUUUUACAGAGGAGGAGGUCCUGGGUUCGAUCCCG